AAUAGAUACCCCGGGUAGUCCACGCCGUAAACGAUGAGUGCUAAGUGUUAGAGGGUUUCCGCCCUUUAGUGCUGCAGCUAACGCAUUAAGCACUCCGCCUGGGGAGUACGGCCGCAAGGCUGAAACUCAAAGGAAUUGACGGGGGCCCGCACAAGCGGUGGAGCAUGUGGUUUAAUUCGAAGCAACGCGAAGAACCUUACCAGGUCUUGACAUCCUCUGACACUCCUAGAGAUAGGAUCUUCCCCUUCGGGGGACAGAGUGACAGGUGGUGCAUGGUUGUCGUCAGCUCGUGUCGUGAGAUGUUGGGUUAAGUCCCGCAACGAGCGCAACCCUUGAUCUUAGUUGCCAGCAUUCAGUUGGGCACUCUAAGGUGACUGCCGGUGACAAACCGGAGGAAGGUGGGGAUGACGUCAAAUCAUCAUGCCCCUUAUGACCUGGGCUACACACGUGCUACAAUGGAUGGUACAAAGGGCUGCAAGACCGCGAGGUUAGCCAAUCCCAUAAAACCAUUCUCAGUUCGGAUUGCG
Molecule: ribosomal RNA, 527 nt
Filed under: uncultured bacterium
Lineage: Bacteria
Description: bacterial SSU rRNA
Rfam family: Bacterial small subunit ribosomal RNA
Source: RNAcentral